Molecule: non-coding RNA, 766 nt
Organism: Chrysemys picta bellii (western painted turtle)
Lineage: Eukaryota; Metazoa; Chordata; Testudines; Emydidae
Source: RefSeq, a predicted model, not a curated record
GAAGUGUAGUCUCACGCCUCACACAUACCGAAGGAAAAGGCUGCUCCCGCAAAGGCCACUGGGAAGUGUAGUCUCACGCCUCACACAGACCGAAGGGGAAGUCUGCUCCCACAAAGGCCACUGGGAAGUGUAGUCUCACGCCUCACACAGACCGAAGGGAAAGGCUGCUCCCGCAAAGGCCACUGGGAAGUGUAGUUCCAGACCGAGGCUCGUGCGAAACAGCCGUUCGGCUCCCGCUCGCCCUUCGAAGGACCCCGGCCUGUGGGCGAUCUCCACAGUGACAGAGCCUGUGUGGGGACUGUCCUGACCGCCUCCGUGGCCACCCUGCCGGUGAGAGGAUCCUCUGGGGGAAAAGGACUUUUCUUUUUACUUAGCAUGGAACCGAUUUGUUGGAAAUCCAGAGAAAUCUGCCCUUCCUGCAGCCAGGAAGCUGCAGCUCCAGAGGGGAACCAGUGUGGCCAACUCCUGAGAUUUUGUCACAAGUCUUGUCAUAUUUGGGGCUGUUCUUAAAGCUCCAGCUGCUGGCAUUGAAGAUUGUGAAAUCCAGGGGGUCAGAAACUGACCUGUACAAGCAGCAACAGCCCCUCCCAUCAGAGAGAAGGACCCCUCAGGCACCUGUUGGGUUACAGAGAGACCAACAUAGUUAAUCUGUGCAGAGCAGGAUCCUGCAAGCCAUGCAGACUACUCCACAGGCAAUUCCUCAUUUCAGCUACAAGAGUGAGCUGCUUCCGUCACCAUCUCAGUGAAAUAUCUCUGAUGCUUGUUG